GUUUGUAAGCAAGUCUGUUUUGUGUUAUUUACCAGGUCGUGGUAGUUCGCGCCCCGGGCUGCGGCGAGUGACGGCGGCGGCAGGCGGCCUUCCAUGCAGUGCAGCCAGCGACGCAGGCAUCUUAACUCGUGAGCUGUGUCUGGUUAACAAAAAAAGGGAGAAUAAAUAGUGAGACUAUGGUAAGGCCGCUCGAGUUGUUCGCAGCGGCCGCCAGGCGGCGCGGGCGCGCUCCUCAAAGAUGACAACGAGAAGC
Helicoverpa zea (corn earworm) is the source of this 253-nucleotide long non-coding RNA. RefSeq lists it as uncharacterized. NCBI's taxonomy places the organism in Eukaryota, Metazoa, Arthropoda, Insecta, Lepidoptera, Noctuidae. The record is from RefSeq and is a predicted model, not a curated record. The transcript is spliced from 3 exons.